UCUGCUGGUGUCGAGUGCCAGGGGGGGAUGAACUGGGAGAAAAGAGGUUCCAUUUGAGUGCUGUGGAUCCAUGCCUUUUGCAAAUCUGCUUGUCUGGCCUUGGACCAGCUCUCCUGCUCAAUGCAGAAUGCCACAUCUUUAUCAGAGGCAGAUGCUUUUCACCCCCAGCAUGUCCUACAGCUUUGCCUUGUUUGUGGGGCAUCCUCUCCCUGUGCUGCUCAGCCCUGGGGAGGGCUCCAGGUGGACUCUGUGUGUCAAGGAAGGUGCAGACUGAGUCAAAAAGAGUCCAGAGAAGAGGCUCCCUGUUCUCCUGCCUCUCUUGCUACACCCAUGGUGCUGCUCCCCAGGAAUCCUCAGAAGGACUUUGCUCUCUGCUCUGCUUCCCUGAUCUCCACUCUGAGUGGGAGCACUUUAGAUUGUGUGACGGAUCACUGUCCCUUUUGGGCCACACAGUGGCAAGGGUUCUUCCAGACACUUGUGAUGAUGAAGUGAAAUCCACGUUUCUGUGA
Molecule: long non-coding RNA, 509 nt
Organism: Vidua chalybeata
Lineage: Eukaryota; Metazoa; Chordata; Aves; Passeriformes; Viduidae
Exons: 2
Source: RefSeq, a predicted model, not a curated record